Molecule: ribosomal RNA, 253 nt
Filed under: uncultured bacterium
Lineage: Bacteria
Also listed under: 1 other name
Description: partial 16S ribosomal RNA
Rfam family: Bacterial small subunit ribosomal RNA
Source: RNAcentral
UACGUAGGGGGCUAGCGUUGUCCGGAAUCAUUGGGCGUAAAGCGCGCGUAGGCGGCCAGAUAAGUCCGGUGUGAAAGUCACAGGCUCAACCUGUGAAUGCCGCUGGAAACUGUCUGGCUAGAGUCCGGAAGGGGCGAGUGGAAUUCCUGGUGUAGCGGUGAAAUGCGCAGAUAUCAGGAGGAACACCAAUGGCGAAGGCAGCUCGCUGGAACGGUACUGACGCUGAGGCGCGAAAGCGUGGGGAGCGAACAGG